AUUUAUAGAAAAAUACAUUUGUAUUUGCAGGAUACACGUUAAGCUAACGAGAUGAAAACAUUGGCAAAAUAAUCAUCUUUUCGCAGUGUCGGCCUGGCUCAGAAGGCCCUCAUUUAAUUUAAGAUUUUUUAUCUCGCUGGACCACUGAGAAAAUUGUCCAACAAAUUUAAUUAUUAUUAAAAAAAGUGUUUACGAUUGUAAUUAUGCAGUGAAACUAACUCGGAAAACUCUGUACCUCGGAAAAUCCGCAAAAGUGGUUAUUAUGGGCGACUAUGUGUUUACAAGAAACGUAGUAAUUGACGUUUACACCAAUACACUUAUCAGCAACAAGUUUAUCGUUAAACAUACACGGUAUGUAAAAUAAUUAAGAAAACUAUACCUUCAUCAAAGCAAAACGCUUGUCGUCGCUCAAGUCCAAGUCCGUCCUUCUCGACAUGGCUUACACAAUAGAUAUGAACUACGAUGCUGAAAGUAAAAAUUAAAACUGGAAUUCGAUAGAAUCGAUGACGUCGUAAACGUAUGUAAAAAACUGAAACAGUGAACGGAACGUGCUUUGCGUUUACCGGUAAGCCGACUCCGUGCCAACUGCUGUUUACUGGCCGGCAAGACGUGUGUCGUCGGCCGUUGGUCGCUCCGUGAAGAGUUUCCCUUCCCUACAAGACAGUAACGAGGUGGCAGUGGCCUUAACACACUAUAAGCCAAAAGUUAUACAAUAACAAUGGUCAUCUGUUGAUAAUGAGGUUUUUGAUACAAACUCUAUCGUUGAAACUAAAAAUUGGCCAGAAUGUCUAUAUCUAGUUGAUUGCAAAAAUCUAAAUGAAACAGGUUUGUCUGCAAUUAAAGAGUUAUUUGAUGUUAACAUUUUGCAUAGAGACAUCAAAGUUAUCCAAAAAAGUGAGGUAUUAAUCAAGGAUAAAACUGAUCGAGUUCUUAUGAUGACCAAAUUGAAACAUAUUACUAUAAAAAUGGGUUAUCAACAGCAGUUGACGUCGACUAAAAAUAAACUAUCCCAAAACUAUAAAUUUGAUGUCUUUCUUAGCUAUUAGAUGUCGAAGUUGUUAAUACUAAGCGAUACACCAAACAUCGGUCUGAUGAUACCACUCAAUGAGUUAGCUCUUAACAGGGAAUGACUAGGUCAAUGUAUGAUCUGAUUAGCAAGAGUAUGGAUUGGAAUCUCUAAUUUUGACUAAAAAUUAUAAUGGCGCGAAUGUUCUAGUUACUACCCCUCAAUUGAC
Molecule: long non-coding RNA, 1235 nt
Organism: Daktulosphaira vitifoliae (grape phylloxera)
Lineage: Eukaryota; Metazoa; Arthropoda; Insecta; Hemiptera; Phylloxeridae
Exons: 5
Source: RefSeq, a predicted model, not a curated record